GAUGAAGAACGUAGUGAAAUGCGAUAAUUAAUGUGAAUUACAGAAUUCAGUGAAUCAUCGAGUCUUUGAACGCACAUUGCGCCCCCUGGUAUUCCGGGGGGCAUGCCUGUCCGAGCGUCAUUGCUGCCCUCAAGCACGGCUUGUGUGUUGGGCUUCCGUCCCUGGCAACGGGGACGGGCCCAAAAGGCAGUGGCGGCACCAUGUCUGGUCCUCGAGCGUAUGGGGCUUUGUCACCCGCUCCCGUAGGUCCAGCUGGCAGCUAGCCUCGCAACCAAUCUUUUUAACCAGGUUGACCUCGGAUCAGGUAGGGAUACCCGCUGAACUUAAGCAUAUCAAUAAGCGGAGGA
Molecule: unclassified non-coding RNA, 347 nt
Filed under: soil metagenome
Description: partial contains 5.8S ribosomal RNA, internal transcribed spacer 2, and large subunit ribosomal RNA
Rfam family: 5.8S ribosomal RNA (bases 1-120)
Source: RNAcentral